GAUCCGGGGAUGUCCGAAUGGGGAAACCUAGCACCAGUCAUGUGGUGUUGCCUCCGUCUGAAUGUAUAGGGCGGUUGGUGGUAACGCGGGGAAGUGAAACAUCUCAGUACCCGUAGGAGAAGAAAACAAAUAGUGAUUCCGUGAGUAGUGGUGAGCGAAAGCGGAGGAGGCUAAACCGUGCGCGUGUGAUAGCCGGCGGGCGUUGCGUGUGCGGGGUUGUGGGACCUUCCGGGGGAGACCGCUGUCUCCUCGAACAGUGAGAAAUCGGUGGGGUAGUCGAACGCUCUGGGAAGGGCGGCCGUAGACCGUGAUAGCCGGGUAGGCGAAAUUCUGCCGACUGUUGGGAGUGUUCCCGAGUAGCACGGGGCUCGAGGAAUCCUGUGUGAAUCUGCCAGGACCACCUGGUAAGCCUAAAUACUUCCUGGUGACCGAUAGUGAACGAGUACCGUGAGGGAAAGGUGAAAAGCGCCCCGGUGAGGGGUCGUGAAAUAGUACCUGAAACCGUGUGCCUACAAGCCGUAGGAGCGUAAACAAGCUUGCUUGUUUGUGAUGUGACUGCGUGCCUUUUGAAGAAUGAGCCUGCGAGUUAUGGUGUGUGGCGAGGUUAACCCGUGUGGGGGAGCCGUAGCGAAAGCGAGUCUGAAUAGGGCGUAUAGAGUCGCAUGCUGUAGACCCGAAGCGGGGUGAUCUACGCAUGGGCAGGUUGAAGCGUGGGUAAGACUGCGUGGAGGACCGAACCCACCAGGGUUGAAAACCUGGGGGAUGACCUGUGUGUAGGGGUGAAAGGCCAAUCAAACUCCGUGAUAGCUGGUUCUCCCCGAAAUGCAUUUAGGUGCAGCGUUGCGUGUUGCUUGCCGGAGGUAGGGCUCUGGAUGGCUGAUGGGCCCGACAAGGUUACUGACGUCAGCCAAACUUCGAAUGCCGGUAAGUUGAGCGUGGCAGUGAGACUGCGGGGGAUAAGCUCCGUGGUCGAGAGGGAAACAGCCCAGAUCACCGACUAAGGCCCCUAAGCGUGUGCU
RNAcentral lists this ribosomal RNA (1019 nucleotides) under Microbispora rosea subsp. rosea. RNAcentral's name for it is "bacterial LSU rRNA". It matches the Rfam family "Bacterial large subunit ribosomal RNA", at positions 101 to 1060 of the family's 2925-position model. The record is from RNAcentral. Lineage: Bacteria; Bacillati; Actinomycetota; Actinomycetes; Streptosporangiales; Streptosporangiaceae.